Rosa chinensis is the source of this 947-nucleotide long non-coding RNA. RefSeq lists it as uncharacterized. NCBI's taxonomy places the organism in Eukaryota, Viridiplantae, Streptophyta, Magnoliopsida, Rosales, Rosaceae. The record is from RefSeq and is a predicted model, not a curated record. The transcript has 5 exons.
UCUUUUUUCUCGACCCAAACCCGCCUCCCUCCCCAAAAUCAUCGAUCCCAGAUUCCAGCCCCUAAAAUCAUCAAAACCAUGGACAAAUCUCUUGCAGUACGACAUAUCCCAAAUCCCCAGCCUUAUUUCUCCACAAUUUUGACUGAUUAACCUUUGUUGUUUCAAAAUCCCCAAACCAUCGAAACCCUAAUUCUGGAAAAGUGUUACUUCCUUCACCGAAAGGUCAAGAAGGUCAAGCUCACCGUCCUCCAGUUCUACAAGGUCGACGACUUCCGGCAAGGUGCAGAAGCUGAGGAAGGAGUGAAAGAGAAGGCAGAGGGUAGUUUUGGAGCUAAAAAGUACUAUUGCAGAUUUGCAGGUGAGAAUCACUUAUUCUCCUUCAAUUGAGUUAAUAUUUUGUUUCUUGUAUUUUGUUUCUUGUUUAGCUUUAGGUUAGCUAUAACUUGAAUAAACUGGUAUAUGAUUUGUGCCUUUUGUGGUGGUGUUGACUGUUGAGGACUAUAUAGUUUGAGACAAACUUGUAUGUUUUUGAUAGGCAGUGUUACAAAUUAUACAAAUGAAUUAAGCAGCUGCUCAUUAAAAUAGUUACGCAGAGAAACCUUGACAUUAUAGUAAGCAAUAUUGCAAAGGAAAAGUGAGGUAGUAAGUGGACAAUCCUGGUUCUUUAUCUUCUCCGUUUGUAAUCCAAAAGUAUUAUGAAAAAGGGAUCUUUAAAGCAGCUCAAAUAUUAUCACUAACUGCUUCUACAAGGAACCAACUGUGGCUGAGCUGGAGCAGUAUCGCGAGCUAGAAGCAAUGGAGAGAGAAACUGCUGGACUUAGAUUGGAUGAACCAAGCUCUUCUACGACCACUGCUGCAACAUAAAGAUGUUUAGCGGCAUCCCCAUACUGGAGAAGAUGAGGUGAUGGCUGAUCGGAACAUUAAACCAACCUAACUUGUGUUUUUUU